This 459-nucleotide ribosomal RNA is filed under the name uncultured bacterium. RNAcentral's name for it is "partial 16S ribosomal RNA". It matches the Rfam family "Bacterial small subunit ribosomal RNA", at positions 338 to 795 of the family's 1533-position model. The record is from RNAcentral.
CCUACGGGUGGCAGCAGUGAGGAAUAUUGGUCAAUGGCCGAGAGGCUGAACCAGCCAAGUCGCGUGAGGGAAGACGGCCCUACGGGUUGUAAACCUCUUUUGUCGGGGAGCAAAGCGAACCACGAGUGGUUCAUUGAGAGUACCCGAAGAAAAAGCAUCGGCUAAAUACGUGCCAGCAGCCGCGGUAAUACGGAGGAUGCGAGCGUUAUCCGGAUUUAUUGGGUUUAAAGGGUGCGACGGCGGAGGUGCAAGUCAGCGGUCAAAUUGCGGGGCUCAACCCCGUACUGCCGUUGAAACUGCAUCCCUUGAGUGCGCGAGAAGUAUGCGGAAUGCGUGGUGUAGCGGGGAAAUGCAUAGAUAUCACGCAGAACUCCGAUUGCGAGGGCAGCAUACCGGCGCGCAACUGACGCUCAUGCACGAAAGCGUGGGUAUCGAACAGGAUUAGAUACCCCAGUAGUC